CGCUGGCAGGUUUGCCAGCUGCGCGAAUGCGGGGGACCGGAGGACCCUCCUGGGCUCACGCUGUGCUUGGAGAUGGAGCCGCUGAGGGCCGAGAUGUACUGAAGCAGAGCGGUGCUUCGAUAUAAACCGAAACACCUUCGUUACCCCCUGCCCAGCGAUCUUAUUACAGUAAUUGUUUCUGGUAGCGUCAGAUUCAUUGCAUUUUUGGAGAAGAUCUUAAGGUAUCCUCAAACCUAUGCCUAUGCCUUCUUCAGAUGAUCAACUAUCACGUCCUUCAGGAGAAUACAAGGCGAAACACUCCAGAAUUUUGUUUGGGACCCUUCUUGGACACGGCCUCUGUGAAUGAUGAAUAUAAGUGAAAAAGUACUCAUAAAAGAGUUCAGGAAUCUAGUCAGCUGAAUUUCCAGUGAUAAUCUCAAUUGCAAGAUCUAGUCACAAUUAUUUCCUUGGAUUUUAUCCAUGUUAUUGUUUAUUGCAUCUUUAA
This is a non-coding RNA of Phascolarctos cinereus (koala), 484 nucleotides long. Lineage: Eukaryota; Metazoa; Chordata; Mammalia; Diprotodontia; Phascolarctidae. The record is from RefSeq and is a predicted model, not a curated record.